This 425-nucleotide ribosomal RNA is filed under the name uncultured bacterium. RNAcentral's name for it is "bacterial SSU rRNA". It matches the Rfam family "Bacterial small subunit ribosomal RNA", at positions 355 to 772 of the family's 1533-position model. The record is from RNAcentral.
UGGGGAAUUUUGCGCAAUGGGCGGAAGCCUGACGCAGCAACGCCGCGUGGAGGAUGAAGGUCUUUGGAUUGUAAACUCCUGUCAGCAGGGAAAAAGCGAGUCGACCUCAUACGUCGGUGAGUUGAUUGUACCUGCAGAGGAAGCCACGGCUAACUCUGUGCCAGCAGCCGCGGUAAUACAGAGGGGGCGAGCGUUAUUCGGAAUUAUUGGGCGUAAAGGGCGCGUAGGCGGCUUUGCAAGUGACGGGUGAAAGCCCUCGGCUUAACCGAGGAACUGCCUGUCAGACUGUGAGGCUUGAGACCGGGAGAGGUGAGUGGAAUUCCCAGUGUAGCGGUGAAAUGCGUAGAUAUUGGGAGGAACACCAGUGGCGAAGGCGGCUCACUGGACCGGAACUGACGCUGAGGCGCGAAAGCGUGGGGAGCAAA